Molecule: non-coding RNA, 114 nt
Organism: Acanthosepion pharaonis
Lineage: Eukaryota; Metazoa; Mollusca; Cephalopoda; Sepiida; Sepiidae
Source: the annotation of a GenBank genome assembly
UUACGGCUAUACCACGUUAAAAUACCGGUUCCUGUACGAUCAUCGAGGUUAAGCAACGUCAAGCCUGGUCAGUACCUAGAUGGGUGAGUGCUUGGGAAUACCAGGUGCUGUAGG